Molecule: long non-coding RNA, 1635 nt
Filed under: Populus tremula
Lineage: Eukaryota; Viridiplantae; Streptophyta; Magnoliopsida; Malpighiales; Salicaceae
Description: long non-coding RNA (PTRE_LNC002898)
Source: RNAcentral
ACCCCGGCCUUUCAGCAAAAGGAUCGAUUAUUUUAACCUUCACUAGACAUGUGAUUGUGAACACCACCAUUAUCAGUGGAUGGGAGUUCGACUACUCGCAUCCAAAUUGAGCUCGAUUAAGAAUUGACCAUUCCAGAAAAAGCCUGCAAGAGGCAAAAUAUCAUAUUUAAAAUGCUAUCACAUAAACCAUUACUUUAAAUCAAGGAAAAACAUACAAGAGCACAAGGCAAAUGAAGUGUAACACAAAGUAUUGGUGCAAAAGUUAAUACUAAUACAUAUACAGAUUUGGAGGUUUGAAAGAAGAAAAUCAUUCACUGUGAUACACAAAAACUGACAUUGUCCAGCGUAAAGUCGAAAGGAACAUUCAAGUUUCAAUAGCUAAAUGUUACCAUCUUUUAUGCUAACGUUUAGCUAUCCAAUUAUUUGGAACACAAGCCAAUCUUUAAAUGCUUCUAUCAGACAAAGGUCAAAAAAGUGAUCUUUAAACAACAUGGAAUAUCCCAAAGGAAAAUAAAAACAUAACUUGUAAAUGUAUACGGAUUAUAUUCAUUGGAAAACUCAGGACCCAAUAACAGAUUAAUACAACCAAAUAUUGUAUUCAUCAUCCUAACAGGAGCAAUUUACUGUGACCUUAAAUGCUAUUUAUAUUAAGUUUAAAAACAAAAUGGCACUGCCGCCUCUCUGCAUAAAGCGAAAUCCCUACCGCUAUCACAUGUUGUUCUUAAAAGAUCUCGCUGCAUCUGUUAUUAGAAAUGUUUCAUUCACUUAGUUUCUUUUGGAAGCAUAAAUCCUCCCGAGCAUCUUCUUUUAUAUGCUAAGACCUAAAAGUUCAAAGUUUAAUUUAGCAAGAAUAUCUCCGGGGAAAAUACACUACUUUUCUGAUAAAACACUUAUGCAAUAUUAUACUAAGAGCCCAUCUGUCGUUGGAGUAACGGUUUUUUCUUAAAAAACUUCUCGCUAUAGUGUUUUUUUAUUUUUUAAAAUUUAUUUUUGAUAUUAGAAUAUUUAAAACCACUUAAAAAAUAUUAAUUCGAAGGAAAAUAAAAUUUAAAAAACACAGGGGUCUUAACCAUGGAACUAUAAAUUUUUGGCUUGUAUAUCAUAAUCCAACUUUCAACCCUUUCCAAAAAGAGAGGAAAAAAAACAAGAGAAAAUCAUUACCACUGAUAUACGAUAACACCUAACUUUACUUGUAAAUUCAUUUCAAGCUAGUGAAGCAAGACGAAAAGAAAAACAAGGAAAACCUAAAUGGGCACUCCUAUUUUGCCACCAAGGCACCGUUUUUGACUAGACUAGAGCUACUUCUCUAUAUUCACCAAACAAACAAAAACCUAUCUAAAGCACAAUUACAAGACAAACCCAGAAGCAUAAAGUACUUGCACAAGAUGAUUAAAAGUUACAUAAGUAAAAACAAAUAAACUUCAUGUAAGGAAUUCGUUUUAGAUCCACAAGAACAAAGGUUUAAUAAGAGCUCAAGGAGAGCAGGAAGAGAAGAGAUAAACCUUAAGAUGGAUGGAAUCAUAUAAGUGUUAUGAGCGGGUAUGUCUUUACCUUGGAUUUAGAAACACAGUCCCAUAAUCAGAUUUUUCUACGGACAAGAUAAGAGUUCAGAGACAAGAGGAUAAGUGGAAAAUU